RNAcentral lists this ribosomal RNA (429 nucleotides) under Bacillota bacterium. Its description in RNAcentral is "Firmicutes bacterium partial 16S ribosomal RNA". It matches the Rfam family "Bacterial small subunit ribosomal RNA", at positions 355 to 776 of the family's 1533-position model. The record is from RNAcentral. Lineage: Bacteria; Bacillati; Bacillota.
UGGGGAAUAUUGGACAAUGGGCGCAAGCCUGAUCCAGCCAUGCCGCGUGUGUGAAGAAGGCCUUUUGGUUGUAAAGCACUUUAAGCGAGGAGGAGGCUACUUGGAUUAAUACUCUAGGAAAGUGGACGUUACUCGCAGAAUAAGCACCGGCUAACUCUGUGCCAGCAGCCGCGGUAAUACAGAGGGUGCGAGCGUUAAUCGGAUUUACUGGGCGUAAAGCGUGCGUAGGCGGCUUCUUAAGUCGGAUGUGAAAUCCCUGAGCUUAACUUAGGAAUUGCAUUCGAUACUGGGAAGCUAGAGUAUGGGAGAGGAUGGUAGAAUUCCAGGUGUAGCGGUGAAAUGCGUAGAGAUCUGGGGGAAUACCGAUGGCGAAGGCGGCAUCUGGCCUAAUACUGACGCUGAGGUACGAAAGCAUGGGGAGCAAACAGG